ACCGUACUCCUACGGGAGGCAGCAGUGGGGAAUUUUGGACAAUGGGGGCAACCCUGAUCCAGCAAUGCCGCGUGAGUGAAGAAGGCCUUCGGGUUGUAAAGCUCUUUUGUCAGGGAAGAAACGGUAGUAGCUAAUAUCUAUUACUAAUGACGGUACCUGAAGAAUAAGCACCGGCUAACUACGUGCCAGCAGCCGCGGUAAUACGUAGGGUGCAAGCGUUAAUCGGAAUUACUGGGCGUAAAGCGUGCGCAGGCGGUUGUGUAAGUCAGAUGUGAAAUCCCCGGGCUCAACCUGGGAAUUGAAUUUGAGACUGAACGGCUAGAGUGUGUCAGAGGGGGGUAGAAUUCCACGUGUAGCAGUGAAAUGAGUAGAUAUGUGGAAGAAUACCGAUGGCGAAGGCAGCCCCCUGCGAUAACACUGACGCUCAUGCACGAAAGCGUGGGGAGCAAGCAGGAUUAGAAACCCCAGUAGUCCUUGAC
This 479-nucleotide ribosomal RNA is filed under the name uncultured bacterium. RNAcentral's name for it is "bacterial SSU rRNA". It matches the Rfam family "Bacterial small subunit ribosomal RNA", at positions 330 to 801 of the family's 1533-position model. The record is from RNAcentral.